AACUGAUACUACCUGCGGGAACCUGCGGAGGGAUCAUUAAUGAGAAGCUGCCCCUCGUGGGUAGACCUCCCACCCUCUGUGAACUUACCUUUGUUGCUUUGGCAGGCCCGUCCUCUGGACCGCCGGCUUCGGCUGGCCCGUGCCUGCCAGAGGAUUCCAAACCCUGUCUGUCAGUGUUGUCUGAGUCUAUAUGAAAUCGUUAAAACUUUCAGCAACGGAUCUCUAGAUCGGAAGAGCACA
RNAcentral lists this unclassified non-coding RNA (240 nucleotides) under soil metagenome. RNAcentral's name for it is "partial contains 5.8S ribosomal RNA, internal transcribed spacer 2, and large subunit ribosomal RNA". The record is from RNAcentral.